Long non-coding RNA from Mytilus californianus (California mussel), 859 nucleotides. RefSeq lists it as uncharacterized. The transcript has 2 exons. NCBI's taxonomy places the organism in Eukaryota, Metazoa, Mollusca, Bivalvia, Mytilida, Mytilidae. The record is from RefSeq and is a predicted model, not a curated record.
UCAGUUUUUAUACGACCGCAAAAAAAUUUUUGUGGUCGUAUAUUGGUAUGACGUUGGCGUCGUCGUCGUCGUCCGUCGUCGUCGUCCGAAGACACAUUGGUUUUCGCACUCUAACUUUAGUUUAAGUGAAUGGAUCUCUAUGAAAUUUUACCACAAGGUUCAAUACCACAAAAGGAAGGUUGGGAUUGAAUUUGGGGGUUAUGGUACCAACAGUAAAGGAAUUAGGGGCCAAAAAUAAGCAUUUUUGUAACUGCCAGACAUAACUUGUGUGUUAGUGUAUGGAUCUCUCUGACAUUGUACCACAUGGUUCCAUAUCACAAAAGGAAUGCUGGGAUUGAUUUUGGGGGUUAUGCCUCAAAAUUUUAGGAAUUAGGGGCCAAAAAAGGGGCCAAAAACAAGCAUUUUUCUAGUUUCAUGACCAUUACUUGUGUGUAAGUGUAUGGAUCUUUCUGAAAUUGUACUACAAGGUUCCAUAUCACAAAGGGAAAGCUGGAAUUGAGUUUGGGGGUAAUUGCCGAAACGUUUAGGAAUUGGGGGCCAAAAAGGGGCCAAAAAUAAGCAUUUUUCUAGUUUCCAGACAAUAACUUGUGUUCAAGUGUAUGGAUCUCUCUGAAAUUGUACUGCAAGGUACCAUGCCACAAAGGGGAGGCUGGGAUUGAUGAUGGGGGUAAUUUUAGGAAUUAGGGGCCAAAAAAGGGGCAAAAAACAAGCAUUUUUCUAGUUUCAUGACAAUAACUUGUGUGUAAGUGUAUGGAUCUUUCUGAAAUUGUACUACAAGGUUCCAUAUCACAAAGGGAAAGCUGGGUUUGAGUUUGGGGGUAAUUGCCCUAAACGUUUAGGAAUUAGGGGCCAAAAAGGG